AUUCGAAGCAACGCGAAGAACCUUACCAGGUCUUGACAUCCUCUGCUACUCCUAGAGAUAGGAGGUUCCCCUUCGGGGGACAGAGUGACAGGUGGUGCAUGGUUGUCGUCAGCUCGUGUCGUGAGAUGUUGGGUUAAGUCCCGCAACGAGCGCAACCCUUGAUCUUAGUUGCCAGCAUUCAGUUGGGCACUCUAAGGUGACUGCCGGUGACAAACCGGAGGAAGGUGGGGAUGACGUCAAAUCAUCAUGCCCCUUAUGACCUGGGCUACACACGUGCUACAAUGGACGGAACAAAGGGCAGCAAGACCGCGAGGUUUAGCUAAUCCCAUAAAUCCGUUCUCAGUUCGGAUUGCAGGCUGCAACUCGCCUGCAUGAAGCCGGAAUCGCUAGUAAUCGCGGAUCAGCAUGCCGCGGUGAAUACGUUCCCGGGCCUUGUACACACCGCCCGUCACACCACGAGAGUUUGUAACACCCAAAGUCGGUGGGGUAACCUUUAUGGAGCCAGCCGCCUAAGGUGGGACAGA
This 524-nucleotide ribosomal RNA is filed under the name uncultured bacterium. Its description in RNAcentral is "bacterial SSU rRNA". It matches the Rfam family "Bacterial small subunit ribosomal RNA", at positions 949 to 1471 of the family's 1533-position model. The record is from RNAcentral.